Long non-coding RNA from Gasterosteus aculeatus aculeatus (three-spined stickleback), 5594 nucleotides. The record is from Ensembl. NCBI's taxonomy places the organism in Eukaryota, Metazoa, Chordata, Actinopteri, Perciformes, Gasterosteidae.
GGAUGGUGGAGAGCAGCAGAGUAGCGAGGGCGUAGAUGGUGGUGCCACUCUGCACUCCCGUGCAUUUGCUUUAAAACUGAUAUCUGGCAAAAGCCAGAUUCUUUUCAAACCUGCAGCACGUCUUGAAAAAAUGUCACAGAGCAGCUGGUGUUUCCCAGUCCGCUCCACGGGGCUCUGCGUCGAGGACGGCGAGAAAACGGAGGAGGGAACACAUUUGGCUGGAGCUCCUGAUCGUCCUGUGACUGCGGCCUCAUCAGAUCGUUAUCAGCGGAGCAACUAAAGAGAAUGGACUCUUUUGUCAACAGGCAGGAAAAAGGUCAUGUAGGGGUCUCCUCUGGCCAGACCUGCUUCCUGUCUCUAUCACCGAGGAAAAGGAAAAAGGUCCUCUGGUGCCUUUGUCCCAUUGGCCAAGGUCCCGCCGGGCGCUGGCGGCAACCGAUGACAUCACUGUAUGAAACACGACGGGGGAGGGCGCGGUGCUGUCUCUUGUCACCCUGGCAACAGGUCCGUGUGUGUCUGUGUGUGUGUGUCCUUGUUAGAGUUAUGCACUGGUUGCCUCACCUCUGGCUAUUAGUCCCCAGCCGAUCCCCCUUCUAUGUCCUGCGCUUCCUUCUCUUUCUUUGCUCUGUCUUGCUGUCUUCCUUCCAUCUCUCCAUCUGGUCUGUUCCAGACGGAGUCACGUUUGAUCAUCUAAAAAGUGUCGAGUAACUUCACACACAAAUAGGAUCGUGUCCUCCUCCUCCUCCCAUCCGGGUCCCCUUUUCAUCUCUCCUCACUCCCUUUUCCUCCCGUUCACAUGCCCUUUCAUCUUCCCUCCUUUUCCCUUGUCCCCUUCUUUCUCCCUCCCCUCCUCUUCCCUCUUUUUAAGUAUUCAGCGGAGUCUAUGGCAAGUGGAUUGGUGGCGUGCCCACUUAAAAGGAGUGGAGGAAUCACACCGCUAAUCCCAUUGUGAGAGAACAAGGGCUGAGGCGGCCCGAUGUGUGUGUGCAAAAAGAGAGCGAGAGUCCGUGAGCGAGUGACAUUACAGAGAAAGCGUGUUUGAGGAAAGGAAGGCAGAGGGAUAUCCGACAGGUGGGCGAUGCAGAAAGUCAGAGGGACGGAGAGACAGUGGGGUCUUUGUGUGAGCGCCCUGUUAAAUCAGGCCUGUAACACCGGCUUUCAUUGGAAAGCCUCUCCAGACCCUUGUGAUAGGUGGCAAGCUUCUCUGAUCCAUACAUGAAAGACGGAGAGCAACGAAGGGUGAGAGAAACAAAGUGGGGGCGAAAAAAAAUGAUGAGAGAGUGGAAUGUGAAAAUGUAAUUUCUCUACUUCGUGUGCAGUUUUGCUAAUGACGAAGAUGAAAGGGGAAAGAAAAGACAGAAUCACCAUGGACUCAACGCCUCCCUACACUUUGUCAGGGCUGUGCGCCUGGCUCAUGGGCACUUCUGCACCGGUUGUUAGAGAGUGAACCUGUCUGACCCACCACACCGUGCAGGUUUUUACAGAUGGCCCUGAAACAAUUGCGAUAACUAAAAAAGCUAAAUUAGCUUCAGUUGGUUCUGUAAAACAGUAAAAAACAAAAAACAAAAACAAGACGUUAAUGAAGAGAGAGAAACGCUGAGUGAAGAAGGAUCAGAGGAGACGUGAAUCUCGUCUGAUGUCUGUUCCAACCUUUACUUGCACCGUGCCAACGGCACCACUUCGUUCUUUUCUUCUUUUUCUCUGUCACCCCUCCCUUCCUCUCCAUCUCCCACCAGGCGCCAAACACACUUUUCUUUCAUUCCCAACACUUAAUUUCUCCCCCCCCCCUCCCCCCUCCCUCCCCUCUCGCCCAUUCCUCGCACUGUGGGAGGUAGAAAGAGAAUCAAGGAGGACGUUGAGACAUCGUUGUUAACGGUCGUCCUCUGAGCUCCCGUCUGAAACACACACAACAAGCGACGCGCAAUCACACGCGUGCAGGUGAGCGGUCGAGCAUGAAGGAAACACAUAUGGACACACACACACACACACACACACACACACACACACACACACACACUCCUUAUAGCUCUCUCCCGUCUGCUGACAAGAGUGUUUGUUCCCAUACCGCAGGGAGGGGGUCACAUGGGCGGCCAGCUGUCUGUUUGCGUGUUUGUUGGAGGGCGUACCGGGACACCUGGGGCCUCAACUCGUGCUGUAAGGUCAGAGAGGGUUGCACUGCUGGUGGCUGGAGGGUUCACACACACACACACACACACACACACACACGCACACGCACACGCACACGCACACGCGCACGCACGCACUCACACACACGCACGCACACACCAUCAGUUGCCUCAAGACAGAAUUAGCCCGCGUCACUGUCAAACAGAAUGGAUUAGAUUACUUCAAAUGCUAAAUGGUGUGUAUGUUAGCAAUUGUGCUGCCAGCUAAUCCAUUAAAGAGACCACACUGGUCCCAGUAGUACCAGCACCAAUCCCCCCACAGUCUCAGCUGGACCAUUGGCUAAGUGGAUGGAGCAGCAUCAUUUACUUCAUUUAUUUAUAUGACAUUGUGGACUGUGUGAUGUUUUUAAAAAUAAUUCAACAUCAGGGGUACCACUUGUAUCGCCUGUGCUGUUCCUCUGUUAGUCCACUUUUCUCCUCUGUCUGUCCUCACAUGACCUUGACUGUACAGGUUGUAUUGUAUCAUGUGAGUAUCAUUUACAUCUAAAUUAGCAUUAGUUAAAGGUAUUGACUUCCCUGACUGAAUUAAAUCAACCCCAUUGAUCCAAACUGAGCCAACAACAGAUUCAAUUGGGCGGGAAUAAUCUGAUACCAUUCAAAGUCCAGACAAAAGAAAAUACCCUCUGAUGGAUUAUGGUGCCAAUUUGCUUGAAUGAUUUGAAUGUGAACGCUAUUGCCGGUUUGAAUUAGUUCCGGCUAAUUUAUCCACAAAAAAAAGCAAUGCAACCUUUCUCACAGAGACAACGGAGCUGAAAUAAACCUGACAUCUACAUUUAAUUUCUAGCUGUUGUAACGACGGAAUUCAAUUUCUUGAAAGGAACAUGAAUCCUUUCAGUCUUUGAUAGAGAACUUGUGUAAACUAAGCUGAUUAUUGGUUAAGUGUUUUUAGGGUGAAUCGAGAAAGAGGAUUGUAGAAAGGGGUAUUAGGGUUCGAGAGUUGUUUUUCAACGCGGGCAUUAAAAAUGGUUUUAAUCUCAUUGUUAUGAGACGUCGUGGCUUUAAGGCAUCAGUUUUUCUCCGUGGUUUUCGGGGGUGUCACUACUUUUGUGAGUCCGCUCCCGUCUGGACUUUGUCUCAAUAUGUUUACCGUAUUUGUGUCAAAUGCACUAAUACUUUAAUCCAAUUGUUAUGUGUUCGAUGUUGUUUUGGACAGAGCUUUGUGCGUUCCUCACAGUUGUAAGUGGUAAACAGAUUCAAUCUUUGCAGGCUCUUAAGGGACAUAUCAUCCAUCAUACAAUCUGGUAAGGCUCAGUUUGGAGAAUUUGUCAUUUUAAUUUCCUCUUCACACACACACACACACAGACACACACACACACAUGCAGAGCACCAUUAAACAGACAUUAGAACACAAGUCCAUUCCAACUCACAUCAUCAUCGACAUCAUCAUCACUCACCGUGUUUUACUCAUCAGCCUGGUCAUUUAAUUAGUUUUCCAUACAAACAAAAUAUACUAUAUUAAUAUUUAUCCCGUUUUGAUGAAAACACGUAAUACUGGAGAUUAUUUAAAUGUUAUAUGUUAUACCUGGAUUUGUGUGACAUCAGAAUCACCAUCUUGAAUAUAUGAAUAGUAGUAAUGCCUUUUAAGAACCUGAAGAAACAGUAGUUCAACGUGAACAAUGGGUAAAAUGCAUCACCAGAAGCGGCUCACUUGGACCUCCUCCUAAUUAAGCGAACUCAUCCCAACCUUCAAGCGGUCAACCCACAAAGACUGAGGAACGAGGUAUGUGUCCAAGACGGAGCAGAACAGGUUUGUGCAGUAAAAAGCUGAAUAACAUACUUUUUUCUGGAGGGUGGUCUUCUUUUCAGACCUUUCUGUAUUUCUGUAAACUAACACAUCUUGUUGUCACCUAAACCUUAAGAGAGUAAAUCAGUACUGUUGUUAAUUUAUAUUAAAAAAAAGUUCACAAAUGCUCAGUCUCUGAUGUUUGCUGCUCUUAAAAUAGAUGCAGCCACAUUUUCUUUAUUCUUUAUGUACACGUGUAUACAGUAUAUCUAUCUUUUGUGUGUCAAAAUCAACAGAUGCUUGAAAUACAAACGGUCCCAUCUGCAGGGAACCUUCAUCGUCACCAUGGUCGCCGUAGUUCUGACAGCUUGAGCAGCCACCGUGGUCCCUGUUGACGAGCCGCUGUCCUCCACCCACCAACACGAGGACGAGCGUCUUGUUGAUUGCUGAUUGAAGUGGUGUUUGCGACUCUGCAGUCGAACACACACUUCAAUCACGCUGGUACAUAAUUAAUCUCCAGUGUGUCCAAGAUUCUGGUCCCUUCCAACAAGGAAACCAGGUAACAGGUUGUCAGCGUGCACACAAAUUAGGAGACAAAAAAACAAAGAAAAGUGUGUUCUGACAACAAAGAAGUGGCCCCAGGAUGCGCCUGGAAGAGCGACCCGUUGUUGACAGUGUUUCACGAUGCAUCGGCCACCCAGGAGGCCGGAUCGAUCUCCCAGAGGUCUUGUGCUCUAAAUGAUCGUCCUUUGUAUCGGUUUGACAGCACAGGUAUUCAUUUGUUGUCUGUUUUCUUUUAAAUACUAUCAUUUUAGCAUUUCUGUGCAGUGUGUGGCUGAUAUUGAUUGAAUGCAAUCUUACACAUACUGUCAAUACUUACUUGCCCUCCAUUAGCAGGAACGGAUAGAUCAGAUGCAUAUUGAUUACAGUGUGCAGAUAGUGCUUGUAUUGUGUGCAAUCAGAUGCCUCUCCAAAUUCAUAAUAUGCUCUUAUAGAUUAUUUAAACUACUCUCUGGAGAAAAACGAGGGCAGACCUCAUAACAGACAAUGUCUUUUUUUCGUAGUAGUAAUUAAACUCAAAAGGAUCGUUACGAUUGUGACGCUGCCACAAAUUGUACUAUUUAAACGAGUUACUUCGAAAAGUGUACUUUAAUAAAUGGAAACAGCUGCUUAGAACAGCAGUUUAGCUGAAUGGACCUCACCUGUAUGCCUAGUUGUUGGUUUGUACAUGUACAUGUACAAUGCACAUACGCACACUUCCCUUCCUCCUCCACCCCUCUAAAUGUCAGAAAGCAUUGAUUGUGAGAUUGUGAGCAGGAGCCCACAGGCAAUUUCAGGUUGUGUUUGUGUCUUUACAAAGAUAUAGAAACAAACUGACAGUGUAUUUAAAGGUCAAACCUGAGUACUAAAGGGACUCAGUGUGUGUGUGUGUGUGUGUGUGUGUGUGUGUGUGUGUGUGUGUGUGUGGCAGAGGGGGACACAAAGACAUUUCUAAAGCAAAAGAAAGUAGGAUGGAAUCACUGUGUUUCUAUGUAGAACAUUGCAGGGACUGAAAAGAAAGCAAAGAUCUAUCGUAAUAGUAACUUUCUAAAGGAAAAUCCAUGUAUAGAUAUAUCAUUUGAUCUGGUUUCUCUUCAUGUACAAGCAGCUCGCGGAGAGAAACAAAAAAAAAGUUAGUUUCCGGC